Molecule: ribosomal RNA, 443 nt
Filed under: uncultured bacterium
Lineage: Bacteria
Description: partial 16S ribosomal RNA
Rfam family: Bacterial small subunit ribosomal RNA
Source: RNAcentral
CCUACGGGUGGCAGCAGUGGGGAAUAUUGGGCAAUGGGCGCAAGCCUGACCCAGCAACGCCGCGUGAAGGAAGAAGGCUUUCGGGUUGUAAACUUCUUUUCUGAGGGACGAAGAACGUGACGGUCCCUCAGGAAUAAGCCACGGCUAACUACGUGCCAGCAGCCGCGGUAAUACGUAGGUGGCAAGCGUUAUCCGGAUUUAUUGGGUGUAAAGGGCGUGUAGGCGGGAAAGCAAGUCAGAUGUGAAAACUCAGGGCUCAACCCUGAGCCUGCAUUUGAAACUGUUUUUCUUGAGUACUGGAGAGGCAGACGGAAUUCCUUGUGUAGCGGUGAAAUGCGUAGAUAUAAGGAGGAACACCAGUGGCGAAGGCGGUCUGCUGGACAGCAACUGACGGUGAGGCGCGAAAGCGUGGGGAGCAAACAGGAUUAGAUACCCUAGUAGUC